RNAcentral lists this ribosomal RNA (404 nucleotides) under uncultured bacterium. Its description in RNAcentral is "bacterial SSU rRNA". It matches the Rfam family "Bacterial small subunit ribosomal RNA", at positions 355 to 775 of the family's 1533-position model. The record is from RNAcentral.
UAGGGAAUAUUGCACAAUGGGCGAAAGCCUGAUGCAGCAACGCCGCGUGCGCGAAGAAGGCCUUCGGGUUGUAAAGCGCUUUUCGGGGAGAAGAGGAAGGACAGUAUCCCCGGAAUAAGGCUCGGCUAACUACGUGCCAGCAGCCGCGGUAACACGUAGGAGCCAAGCGUUAUCCGAAUUCACUGGGCGUAAAGCGCGUGUAGGCGGUCUUACAAGUUGGGUGUGAAAGCUCCUGGCUCAACUAGGAGAGGACGUUCAAUACUGUGAGACUAGAGGACGGCAGAGGAAGGUGGAAUUCCCGGUGUAGUGGUGAAAUGCGUAGAUAUCGGGAGGAACACCAGAGGCGAAGGCGGCCUUCUGGGCCGAUCCUGACGCUCAGACGCGAAAGCUAGGGGAGCGAACGG